GGAAAAACGGAGAGAAAUUUGGGGCAAAUAAAUGGGUUGGUGGUGACGGCAGCGACACGACUGCGAUUUUUUUAGAUUUGAUCGGAGACACAUAGUUGUCAUCUUCAUCAAUCUAAGAUAAAAAUGCAAGGUAGCAUCUAUUCGAGGUGUUUUAGGGGUAGGGAGUUGUUGCUCCACAAAGCACAAAAAAUGAUUUUGAAUUACAUCCCUUCUCGCCCUUUACCUUCCCAACUACUAAACCCUCCAAAUUAUCGAACUCAUCUUUCAACCAUUAAACGAUACCCAUACCCAUGGGAUUCUUCAAGAACCGGUUUCAAACAAAUCAAGGCAUUCAUUUCUGAGUUUCCUGCUAAAAACCCUGAUGGAAAAUCAAAUGGGCAUGCCAUGUUUUCAACAUCUUCAGCUGGCGAAAAAAAGCCUCUCCUCAACAAGGAACAAACUCAGCCUGCAACGGAAGCCGAUCAAAUAUCUAAUGCCAGAAUUAUAAGCACUCUCGCUAAAUACUUGUGGAUGAAGGAUAAUUUUGAGUUCCGCUUUCGCGUUAUUGCUGCCUUGACUUUACUAGUUGGUGCAAAGGUUGUGAAUGUUCAAGUACCAUUCUUAUUUAAGCUUGCUGUUGAUUGGUUGUCAACAGCUACUGGCAAUGCUAGCGCGCUUGCAGAGUUUACUACUGCCAACUCUACUGUUUUGGCUCUUUUCGUAAGUCCUGCUGCGGUCUUGAUUGGGUAUGGUAUUGCACGAUCAGGGGCAUCCGCUUUCAACGAAUUGCGAACUGCAAUUUUCUCAAAGGUCGCACUCCGCACUAUUCGGUCAGUUUCACGGAAGGUCUUUUCGCACUUGCAUGAACUCGAUCUGCAAUAUCACCUUAGUCGAGAAACAGGUGGUCUUAAUCGGGUCAUUGACCGUGGUAGCCGAGCUAUCAAUUUUAUUCUUUCGUCAAUGGUUUUCAAUGUUUUCCCGACGAUAUUGGAGAUAUCAAUGGUAUCAGGUAUACUUGCAUACAGAUUUGGAGCUUCCUUUGCAUGGAUUACAUCACUGUCAGUGGCUGCAUAUAUCGCUUUCACCUUAAGUAUUACCCAGUGGCGAACUAAGUUUAGGAAGGAGAUGAAUAAAGCUGAUAAUGAUGCAAGCACACGAGCAAUCGAUUCUCUUAUCAACUAUGAGACUGUUAAGUACUUUAACAAUGAGGUGUAUGAAACCGAGAAGUAUGAUCACUUUUUAAAGAGAUAUGAAGAUGCUGCCUUAAAGACACAACGUAGUCUUGCAAUCUUAAACUUUGGGCAAAGUGCAAUAUUCAGCAUAGCUCUCUCAGCUGCUAUGGUUUUAUGUUCUAAUGGGAUUAUGAAUGGUGUCAUGACUGUUGGUGACUUGGUCAUGGUAAACGGGCUGCUGUUCCAGCUAUCGCUUCCACUGAAUUUCCUUGGUAGCGUAUAUCGUGAGACCAUCCAAAGUUUAGUGGACAUGAAAUCAAUGUUUCAGUUACUAGAGGAAAAAGCUCAAAUCGGAGAUGCAG
Molecule: unclassified non-coding RNA, 1513 nt
Filed under: Hevea brasiliensis (rubber tree)
Lineage: Eukaryota; Viridiplantae; Streptophyta; Magnoliopsida; Malpighiales; Euphorbiaceae
Source: RNAcentral